AGUGAACGCUGGCGGUAGGCCUAACACAUGCAAGUCGAACGGCAGCACAGUAAGAGCUUGCUCUUACGGGUGGCGAGUGGCGGACGGGUGAGGAAUACAUCGGAAUCUACUUUUUCGUGGGGGAUAACGUAGGGAAACUUACGCUAAUACCGCAUACGACCUACGGGUGAAAGCAGGGGAUCUUCGGACCUUGCGCGAUUGAAUGAGCCGAUGUCGGAUUAGCUAGUUGGCGGGGUAAAGGCCCACCAAGGCGACGAUCCGUAGCUGGUCUGAGAGGAUGAUCAGCCAAACUGGAACUGAGACACGGUCCAGACUCCUACGGGAGGCAGCAGGGGGGAAUAUUGGACAAGGGGCGCAAGCCUGAUCCAGCCAUACCGCGUGGGUGAAGAAGGCCUUCGGGUUGUAAAGCCCUUUUGUUGGGAAAGAAAAGCAGCAGGUUAAUACCCCGCUGUUCUGACGGUACCCAAAGAAUAAGCACCGGCUAACUUCGU
RNAcentral lists this ribosomal RNA (491 nucleotides) under uncultured bacterium. Its description in RNAcentral is "partial 16S ribosomal RNA". It matches the Rfam family "Bacterial small subunit ribosomal RNA", at positions 29 to 506 of the family's 1533-position model. The record is from RNAcentral.